RNAcentral lists this ribosomal RNA (256 nucleotides) under uncultured bacterium. RNAcentral's name for it is "partial 16S ribosomal RNA". It matches the Rfam family "Bacterial small subunit ribosomal RNA", at positions 524 to 776 of the family's 1533-position model. The record is from RNAcentral.
UACGAAGGGGGCUAGCGUUGCUCGGAAUCACUGGGCGUAAAGGGCGCGUAGGCGGCGUUUUUAAGUCGGGGGGUGAAAGCCUGUGGCUCAACCACAGAAUGGCCUUCGAUACUGGGACGCUUGAGUAUGGUAGAGGUUGGUGGAACUGCGAGUGUAGAGGUGAAAUUCGUAGAUAUUCGCAAGAACACCGGUGGCGAAGGCGGCCAACUGGACCAUUACUGGACGCUGAGGCGCGAAAGCGUGGGGAGCAAACAGG